This 515-nucleotide ribosomal RNA is filed under the name uncultured bacterium. Its description in RNAcentral is "bacterial SSU rRNA". It matches the Rfam family "Bacterial small subunit ribosomal RNA", at positions 787 to 1300 of the family's 1533-position model. The record is from RNAcentral.
CUGGUAGUCCACGCCGUAAACGAUGAGUGUUAGGUGUUAGGGGGUUUCCGCCCCUUAGUGCUGGCGUUAACGCAUUAAGCACUCCGCCUGGGGAGUACGGCCGCAAGGCUGAAACUCAAAAGAAUUGACGGGGACCCGCACAAGCGGUGGAGCAUGUGGUUUAAUUCGAAGCAACGCGAAGAACCUUACCAGGUCUUGACAUCCCUAUGCCCGCUCUAGAGAUAGAGUUUUCCCUUCGGGGACAUAGGUGACAGGUGGUGCAUGGUUGUCGUCAGCUCGUGUCGUGAGAUGUUGGGUUAAGUCCCGCAACGAGCGCAACCCUUGAACUUAGUUGCCAGCAUUUAGUUGGGCACUCUAAGUUGACUGCCGGUGACAAACCGGAGGAAGGUUGGGAUGACGUCAAAUCAUCAUGCCCCUUAUGACCUGGGCUACACACGUGCUACAAUGGAUGGUACAAAGGGCUGCAAAACCGCGAGGUGGAGCGAAUCCCAUAAAACCAUUUUCAGUUCGGAUUG